GAUGAACGCUGACGGCGUGCCUAAUACAUGCAAGUCGAGCGAACGGACGAGAAGCUUGCUUCUCUGAUGUUAGCGGCGGACGGGUGAGUAACACGUGGAUAACCUACCUAUAAAACUGGGAUAACUUCGGGAAACCGGAGCUAAUACCGGAUAAUAUUUUGAACCGCAUGGUUCAAAAGUGAAAGACGGUCUUGCUGUCACUUAUAGAUGGAUCCGCGCUGCAUUAGCUAGUUGGUAAGGUAACGGCUUACCAAGGCAACGAUGCAUAGCCGACCUGAGAGGGUGAUCGGCCACACUGGAACUGAGACACGGUCCAGACUCCUACGGGAGGCAGCAGUAGGGAAUCUUCCGCAAUGGGCGAAAGCCUGACGGAGCAACGCCGCGUGAGUGAUGAAGGUCUUCGGAUCGUAAAACUCUGUUAUUAGGGAAGAACAUAUGUGUAAGUAACUGUGCACAUCUUGACGGUACCUAAUCAGAAAGCCACGGCUAACUACGUG
RNAcentral lists this ribosomal RNA (497 nucleotides) under uncultured bacterium. RNAcentral's name for it is "partial 16S ribosomal RNA". It matches the Rfam family "Bacterial small subunit ribosomal RNA", at positions 28 to 507 of the family's 1533-position model. The record is from RNAcentral.